This 88-nucleotide Y RNA is filed under the name Carlito syrichta (Philippine tarsier). RNAcentral's name for it is "Y RNA (ENSTSYG00000022695.2)". It matches the Rfam family "Y RNA". From Rfam's summary of the family: Y RNAs are components of the Ro ribonucleoprotein particle (Ro RNP), in association with Ro60 and La proteins. Lineage: Eukaryota; Metazoa; Chordata; Mammalia; Primates; Tarsiidae. The record is from Rfam by way of RNAcentral.
GGCUGAUCCAAAUACAGUGGUAGUUACAACCAGUUACAGAUUUCUUUAUUCCAUCUUUAUUCCCACUGCUUCACUUGACUAGCCUUAA